This 497-nucleotide ribosomal RNA is filed under the name uncultured bacterium. Its description in RNAcentral is "partial 16S ribosomal RNA". It matches the Rfam family "Bacterial small subunit ribosomal RNA", at positions 28 to 507 of the family's 1533-position model. The record is from RNAcentral.
GAUGAACGCUGGCGGCGUGCCUAAUACAUGCAAGUCGAGCGAACAGACGAGGAGCUUGCUCCUCUGACGUUAGCGGCGGACGGGUGAGUAACACGUGGAUAACCUACCUAUAAGACUGGGAUAACUUCGGGAAACCGGAGCUAAUACCGGAUAAUAUAUUGAACCGCAUGGUUCAAUAGUGAAAGACGGUUUUGCUGUCACGUAUAGAUGGAUCCGCGCCGCAUUAGCUAGUUGGUAAGGUAACGGCUUACCACGGCGACGAUGCGUAGCCGACCUGAGAGGGGGAUCGGCGACCCUGGAGGUUGGACAGGGACAAGGGUACUACGAGAGGGAGCAGUAGGGAAUCGUCGGCAACAGGCGAAAACAUGACGGAGCAACGCCGAGUGAGAGGUAGAGGUCUUCGGUUCGUAAAACUGUGUUAUUGGUGAAAAACAAAUGUGUAAGUAACCAUGCACGUCGUGACGGUACCUGAUCAGAAAGCCACGGCUAACUACGUG